UUAAAUUGAAGAGUUUGAUCAUGGCUCAGAUUGAACGCUGGCGGCAGGCUUAACACAUGCAAGUCGAACGGUAACAUGAGUGCUUGCACUUGAUGACGAGUGGCGGACGGGUGAGUAAAGUAUG
This 124-nucleotide ribosomal RNA is filed under the name Gilliamella sp. HK2. RNAcentral describes it as "partial 16S ribosomal RNA". It matches the Rfam family "Bacterial small subunit ribosomal RNA", at positions 1 to 119 of the family's 1533-position model. The record is from RNAcentral. Lineage: Bacteria; Pseudomonadati; Pseudomonadota; Gammaproteobacteria; Orbales; Orbaceae.